UUCACCCUUUCAUUUCAAGGUGUUACAACUUGCAAGAAUUGGUGGGAAAGAUGUAAGAGACUGUGUCCACAAAAUUCUUGACAGGCUCUUCACCAACCAGUUGAUGGCAAAGUUCAAUAUGAAGGGGAAAGGGAAGAAGCAUAAACUGCCUCUGGAGACAACAAACAUAUAAAGCAAUAAGAGCGGCAGUCAUGAAGUGGGAUAAAGAAGCUAUAGAGGCUGCAAUAAAGCAUCAUGCAGCAGACCAUCUUAAACAUGCACCUGGGAGGAAGGGAGGAGGAGGACAUGUUUGUUUUUAGUUCAUUUAAAGUUCCAUGGGACUCUGUUCUGUCAUUUAAAAACAAGGUGUUGGUGUUUACAUUUUGAUACAUAAAUGCAAAUAUUGUUUUCCUAAACCUCAUUAAAGACAUUUCUCAUUUUAUAAAA
This is a long non-coding RNA of Astyanax mexicanus (Mexican tetra), 426 nucleotides long. RefSeq lists it as uncharacterized. Lineage: Eukaryota; Metazoa; Chordata; Actinopteri; Characiformes; Acestrorhamphidae. The record is from RefSeq and is a predicted model, not a curated record. The transcript is spliced from 3 exons.